RNAcentral lists this ribosomal RNA (575 nucleotides) under uncultured bacterium. RNAcentral describes it as "partial 16S ribosomal RNA". It matches the Rfam family "Bacterial small subunit ribosomal RNA", at positions 355 to 923 of the family's 1533-position model. The record is from RNAcentral.
UGGGGAAUUUUGGACAAUGGGCGAAAGCCUGAUCCAGCAAUGCCGCGUGUGUGAAGAAGGCCUUCGGGUUGUAAAGCACUUUUGUCCGGAAAGAAAUCCUUGGCUCUAAUACAGUCGGGGGAUGACGGUACCGGAAGAAUAAGCACCGGCUAACUACGUGCCAGCAGCCGCGGUAAUACGUAGGGUGCAAGCGUUAAUCGGAAUUACUGGGCGUAAAGCGUGCGCAGGCGGUUUGCUAAGACCGAUGUGAAAUCCCCGGGCUCAACCUGGGAACUGCAUUGGUGACUGGCAGGCUAGAGUAUGGCAGAGGGGGGUAGAAUUCCACGUGUAGCAGUGAAAUGCGUAGAGAUGUGGAGGAAUACCGAUGGCGAAGGCAGCCCCCUGGGCCAAAUACUGACGCUCAUGCACGAAAGCGUGGGGAGCAAACAGGAUUAGAUACCCUGGUAGUCCACGCCCUAAACGAUGUCAACUAGUUGUUGGGGAUUCAUUUCCUAGUAACGUAGCUAACGCGUGAAGUUGACCGCCUGGGGAGUACGGUCGCAAGAUUAAAACUCAAAGGAAUUGACGGGGUCAUA